RNAcentral lists this ribosomal RNA (253 nucleotides) under uncultured bacterium. RNAcentral's name for it is "partial 16S ribosomal RNA". It matches the Rfam family "Bacterial small subunit ribosomal RNA", at positions 524 to 776 of the family's 1533-position model. The record is from RNAcentral.
GACAGAGGGUGCAAACGUUGUUCGGAAUUACUGGGCGUAAAGCGCGCGCAGGUGGUUCGUUGCGUCCGAGGUGAAAUCUCCCGGCUCAACUGGGAGGGGUCUUCGGAUACGGGCGGACUUGAGGAGAGCAGAGGUAGGCGGAAUUCUGGGUGUAGUGGUGAAAUGCGUAGAUAUCGGGAGGAACACCAGUGGCGAAGGCGACUUCCUGGCCUGUUCUUGACGCUGAGGCGCGAAAGCUAGGGGAGCAAACGGG